Molecule: ribosomal RNA, 1893 nt
Filed under: human metagenome
Description: bacterial LSU rRNA
Rfam family: Bacterial large subunit ribosomal RNA
Source: RNAcentral
UGAAGUAAGUAAGGGCGUACGGUGAAUGCCUUGGUGCCAACAGGCGAAGAAGGACGCGGCAAGCUGCGAAAAGCCUCGGGAAGCUGCAAGCAAGCGAUGAUCCGGGGAUAUCCGAAUGGGGUAACCUGAUCGAGGCAAUACUCGAUCGUUCAUACCUGAAUACAUAGGGUAUGAAACGCGAAACCCGCUGAAGUGAAACAUCUCAGUAAGCGGAGGAAAAGAAAGAGAAAUCGAUUCCGUAAGUAGUGGCGAGCGAAAGCGGAUGGAGCCCAAACCGAAGGUAUUCCUUCGGGGUUGUAGGACCACGUCAUAUUCGACCAUACUGGAUAGUAGAACAGCCUGGAAAGGCUGGCCGGAGAAGGUGAAAGCCCUGUAGACGAAAUCCAGAGUGGGAAUUAGUGGUAUCCUGAGUAAUACAUCACACGUGGAACGAUGUAUGAACCCGCGCGGACCACCGCGCAAGGCUAAAUACUAGUUGGCGACCGAUAGUGAACAAGUACCGCGAGGGAAAGGUGAAAAGAACCGCUGUGAGCGGAGUGAAAUAGAACCUGAAACCGUAUGUCUACAAAGUGUCAGAGCAGAGCAAUCUGCGAUGGCGUGCCUUUUGUUUAAUGAGUCUGCGAGUCAGUGUUUGUGGCAAGACUAAGGGCUUCCGGCCCGGAGUCGCAGCGAAAGCAAGUCCGAACAGGGCGCAAUAAGUCGCAGGUACUGGACCCGAAGCGGAGGUGACCUACCCUUGGCCAGGUUGAAGCAUGGGUAAAACCAUGUGGAGGACCGAACAGGUGAACGUUGAAAAGUUCUCUGAUGAGCUGAGGGUAGGAGUGAAAGGCUAAUCAAACCCCGUGAUAGCUGGUUCUCUUCGAAAUGCAUUUAGGUGCAGCGUCACGUGCUGAUGCGCGGGGGUAGAGCACUGACAAGGCUAGGGGGCACACCCGCUUACCAAACCUUAUCAAACUCCGAAUACCGUGCAAUGGAACGUGGCAGUGAGACAGUGGGGGAUAAGCUUCAUUGUCGAGAGGGAAACAACCCAGACCAGCAGCUAAGGUGCCUAAAUAACGCUCAGUGGAAAGGAUGUGGGAUUACACAGACAGUGAGGAUGUUGGCUUAGAAGCAGCCACCAUUUAAAAAAUGCGUAAUAGCUUACUCAUCGAGUGAUCCUGCGCCGAAAAUGAUUGGCGAUCAAGCGUUAUACCGAAGCUCUGGACUUUGCCGCAAGGCAGAGUGGUAGAAGAGCGUUGCAUGCGCGUCGAAGGGCGAUGGCGACUGACCCUGGAGCACAUGCAAGUGAGUAUGCAGACAUGAGUAACGUUAAGCCGGGUGAAAUCCCCGGCCGCCGUAAACCCGAGGUUUCCAGGGCAACGUGUUUCGUCCCUGGGUUAGCCGGGACCUAAGCCGAGGCCGAGAGGCGUAGGCGAUGGACAUCAGGUUAAUAAUCCUGAGCUCGCAACCCUUAAACUGGGGGGACGCAUGAGAAAAGAUGACUAGGUUAUUGAAUUCCGAGUUGAGUCUACGGACUCAGCGCAUCAUUGGAUCGAGUGCCAAGAAAAGCCCCAGCGUAUGCUAAGCGACCCGUACCGCAAACCGACACAGGUGGGUGGGUAGAAUAUACCAAGGCGUAAGAGUGAAACCUGGUUAAGGAACUCGGCAAAUUAGCCCCGUAACUUCGGAAGAAGGGGUGCCUGCAGCGAUGCAGGCCGCAGAGAAAUGGCCCAACCGACUGUUUAUCAAAAACACAGCACUCUGCAAAGACGCAAGUCGAAGUAUAGGGUGUGACACGUGACCAAUGCCGAAAGAUUAAGGCAAGGGGUUAGCCGCAAGGCGAAGCUCUAAACCCAAGUCCCGGUGAAUGUCGGCCGUAACUAUAACGGUCCUAAGGUAGCGAAAUUCCUUGUC